AAGGAAGUGGCAGAGUGGUUAUGCGACUGGCUUGAAACCAGUACAUGGGGGUUCAAUUCCUCCCUUUCUCG
RNAcentral lists this transfer RNA (71 nucleotides) under Sinibotia robusta. RNAcentral describes it as "tRNA-Ser". It matches the Rfam family "tRNA". From Rfam's summary of the family: Transfer RNA (tRNA) molecules are approximately 80 nucleotides in length. Their secondary structure includes four short double-helical elements and three loops (D, anti-codon, and T loops). The record is from RNAcentral. Lineage: Eukaryota; Metazoa; Chordata; Actinopteri; Cypriniformes; Botiidae.